GCUGGAGGAGAGAACAGACGGCCGGGGUCACCAGUGGCCGGAGGCCGUCUCAGGCUCGGACGGGCCCAGGGCUGUCUGUGGUUUGGGGCAGUCGUCCUCAUCUUACAACAGUUCUUUGCUGCAGCUUGAUGGUGCCCAGCUCCGUGAUGUCCACCACGAUGACCUGCGGCCGCGUGGUGAAGAAGUCGGCGAUGUCGCAGGUCUGGCUGUCGUCAGACUCGAUCCUGCCCUUGAGCUUCCAGCGCUGGCGGCCCAGGCGCAUGAGCACCUGCGGGUGAGCGGGAGAGGG
Microcebus murinus (gray mouse lemur) is the source of this 289-nucleotide non-coding RNA. Lineage: Eukaryota; Metazoa; Chordata; Mammalia; Primates; Cheirogaleidae. The record is from RefSeq and is a predicted model, not a curated record.